RNAcentral lists this unclassified non-coding RNA (270 nucleotides) under fungal sp. RNAcentral's name for it is "partial internal transcribed spacer region". The stretch from base 1 to 46 matches the Rfam family "Eukaryotic small subunit ribosomal RNA", at positions 1786 to 1831 of the family's 1831-position model. Lineage: Eukaryota; Fungi. The record is from RNAcentral.
AAGUCGUAACAAGGUUUCCGUAGGUGAACCUGCGGAAGGAUCAUUAUUGAAUGAACUUGGAGUUGGUUGUCGCUGGCUGUCUUAUUUGGCAGCAUGUGCACGCCUUCUCUUUUCAUCCACACACACCCCUGUGCACUUGUGAGACUGGAGACCGGUAAAAAAAAGUCUUCAGUCUGCUAAAUCCAUAUACAAACCCAUUUAAUUGAACUGAAUGUAAAUUGAUGUAACGCAUCUUUAAACUAAGUUUCAACAACGGAUCUCUUGGCUCUC